CACGGGGGGAGCAAGCGUUGUUCGGAAUCACUGGGCGUAAAGGGUGUCUAGGCGGUCAGGUAAGUGAGAUGUGAAAUGCCCCGGCUUACCCGGGGACCGGCAUCUCAUACUGUCUGGCUUGAGUAUGGGAGAGGAUGAGGGAAUUCCUGGUGUAGCGGUGAAAUGCGUAGAUAUCAGGAGGAACAUCGGUGGCGAAAGCGCUCAUCUGGCCCAAUACUGACGCUGAAGCACGAAAGCUAGGGGAGCAAACGGG
This 253-nucleotide ribosomal RNA is filed under the name uncultured bacterium. RNAcentral describes it as "partial 16S ribosomal RNA". It matches the Rfam family "Bacterial small subunit ribosomal RNA", at positions 524 to 776 of the family's 1533-position model. The record is from RNAcentral.